This 1111-nucleotide long non-coding RNA is filed under the name Macaca fascicularis (crab-eating macaque). RNAcentral describes it as "lncRNA (ENSMFAG00000056175.1)". The record is from RNAcentral. Lineage: Eukaryota; Metazoa; Chordata; Mammalia; Primates; Cercopithecidae.
ACACAGACCCCGAGGCCCGCCUGCCUUGGAACAAUGUGCCUGUCUUAUGGACAGGAGGUGGGUGGUGGCCUCACGAGUGGGCAAGUGUCCCUGACUGGGGAGUGCCGGCCUUGGGGAGUGGCUGUGGCCUGUUGAGGGCUGAGCUAAGGCAGAGGCACCAGCCUGGGGGGCCGAGGUCCCAGCCUCUGGGCUGCUUUAACCAGGGGUUGAUGUGAUGCUCCAUCCUCAGAGACAGAGCUCUUGGAUUGAGCACCAGGGACAGAAACAGGCAUGGCCCCUCCUCAUCACCCCUAGAGACCCCUGGGCAGAGGUGUGCCCCCAACUUUACACACACUGAGAUGGAGACCUGCGUCCUUCAGGCCCUCGCUCCAGGGAAACUAGAAGGCUCCCAGCUGACCCCUCCACUCCUCCUCUGCGACCAGCAGGCUGAAUAAAAUAAAAUAAUAAAAUAUAAAAUAAUAAAGCAAAAUAAAAUGUGAAAGGAGUUGACGUCCCAAAAUGCUUGUGGACAGAAGGAGGACUGAGGGAGGGAGAGGGGAAGGAGGAAAGGAAGAGAGAAGCUGGAGGGAGGGAGAUUCCUUGGCGCUGGGCGCUGGGGAAGGAAGUGACUCCUGCCUCAGCAGCCCCCCUUAGCCCUUGGCGAGUUGGAGGCCCCGAGCAUGAAGAGCGAGCGGGACUUUCCAACAACAAGGGCGGGUCAGGGAACCCAGGCCGCAGGACAGUAGGGCCAGGGGCAUGGAAGCCCAGUGUGGGAGCUCCUCCUCCUAGCACAUGGAAGCCCUGGAGGUCUCCAAACUGGGCAAUGGGACAGGGAGACUGGGCGGGGAAGGCUACCCCAUGUCCCUAAGGAGAAGAGGCUGGAAGCAGUGGACUGAGAACAGUGAGGCCAGGUUUCCAUGGGGCCCAGGCUCCCCGGUGCUAACAUCCACCCCAAUGAAGUCUCCACCAGCGGAGCUGCCCUGCCCUCACCCUGCUCACCAGAGGGGAACCCUGGAACCUCUCGGGGUUCUCCCAGCAGGAGGGAGGGCGACUGCUCCCCACCUCGCCCCCGGGGAAGAGCUGUCGCCAUGGAAACCUCCCUGUUGUCUGAAUGAAUUUCAGAACAGGGAAU